This 484-nucleotide ribosomal RNA is filed under the name uncultured bacterium. Its description in RNAcentral is "partial 16S ribosomal RNA". It matches the Rfam family "Bacterial small subunit ribosomal RNA", at positions 30 to 507 of the family's 1533-position model. The record is from RNAcentral.
AUUGAACGCUGGCGGCAGGCCUAACACAUGCAAGUCGAGCGGAUGAAGGGAGCUUGCUCCUGGAUUCAGCGGCGGACGGGCGAGUAAUGCCUAGGAAUCUGCCUGGUAGUGGGGGGUAACGUCCGGAAACGGGCGCUAAUACCGCAUACGUCCUGAGGGAGAAAGUGGGGGAUCUUCGGACCUCACGCUAUCAGAUGAGCCUAGUACGGAUUAGCUAGUUGGUGGGGUAAAGGCCUACCAAGGCGACGAUCCGUAACUGAUCUGAGAGGAUGAUCAGUCACACUGGAACUGAGACACGGUCCAGACUCCUACGGGAGGCAGCAGUGGGGAAUAUUGGGCAAUGGGCGAAAGCCUGAUCCAGCAAUGCCGCGUGUGUGAAGAAGGUCUUCGGAUUGUAAAGCUCUUUAAGUUGGGAGGAAGAGCAGUAAGUUAAUACCUUGCUGUUUUGACGUUACCAACAGAAUAAGCACCGGCUAACUUCGUG